UCAGGCCUAACACAUGCAAGUCGAGCGCGAAAGCACUUCGGUGUGAGUAGAGCGGCGGACGGGUGAGUAACGCGUAGGAAUCUACCUGGUAGUGGGGGACAACUCGGGGAAACUCGAGCUAAUACCGCAUACGCCCUACGGGGGAAAGCGGGGGACCUUCGGGCCUCGCGCUAUCAGAUGAGCCUGCGUUGGAUUAGCUAGUUGGUGGGGUAAUGGCCUACCAAGGCGACGAUCCAUAGCUGGUCUGAGAGGAUGAUCAGCCACACCGGGACUGAGACACGGCCCGGACUCCUACGGGAGGCAGCAGCGGGGAAUAUUGCGCAAUGGGCGAAAGCCUGACGCAGCCAUGCCGCGUGUGUGAAGAAGGCCUUCGGGUUGUAAAGCACUUUCAAUUGGGAGGAAAGGCUCACGGCUAAUACCCGUGAGCUGUGACGUUACCUUUAGAAGAAGCACCGGCUAACUCCGUGCCAGCAGCCGCGGUAAUACGGAGGGUGCAAGCGUUAAUCGGAAUUACUGGGCGUAAAGCGCGCGUAGGUGGUCUGUUAAGUCGGAUGUGAAAGCCCCGGGCUCAACCUGGGAACUGCACCCGAUACUGGCAGACUAGAGUGCGGGAGAGGGAGGUAGAAUUCCAUGUGUAGCGGUGAAAUGCGUAGAUAUGUGGAGGAAUACCAGUGGCGAAGGCGGCCUCCUGGCUCGACAC
This 700-nucleotide ribosomal RNA is filed under the name uncultured bacterium. RNAcentral's name for it is "bacterial SSU rRNA". It matches the Rfam family "Bacterial small subunit ribosomal RNA", at positions 42 to 740 of the family's 1533-position model. The record is from RNAcentral.